This is a non-coding RNA of Cinara cedri, 890 nucleotides long. The record is from the annotation of a GenBank genome assembly. Lineage: Eukaryota; Metazoa; Arthropoda; Insecta; Hemiptera; Aphididae.
AAAAUGAAUAUGUGUUGAAAUCGAUUAAAAAUAUUGUAUUGUAAGUCAAACACUAAAAAAAACAACUAUUAUUCAUAGUUUACAGAUGUUUUAUUGGUUUUAAUUUUAAAUAGAAGAAUUGUUUUUAACACGUUGACUGCCAUGAGGGUCAUUUUUGUCCCUCAGAAGAAUUUUUAAUUGGGCUAAGAGGGGUCAAUUUGUCCCUCAAGGCUAUGUUGUCUAUAUCGACUCGUGAGAUCAAAUAGCCCCUCGGUAACCGUCAAAAUAACGCACUUUCAGAUUCUCUGUUAUCUACAGAACAAAAUGCUCUAUUUAGCAUUUAAAUAUUAUUAAAUGGAAAGACAAAAGGUAUCUCCUAAUGUUGAGUUCAAAACAUGUUGAUACAACCACAGCAAUAACCAAAAGAAAUCAAACCAUUAAUAAACCUGUGAUGGUCAUUGAAUAUAAUCAGGGGAAGAGUUUUAUCGACAGACGUGAUUAAAUGACAUCAUAUUCUACAUCUUUGAGAAGAAGUUUGAAAUGGUACCGUAAAGUUGUUUUUGAUAUUUUGCUUGGUACUUGCCUGACUAAUGUCUUAUCACUAUUUUGUACAGUCAAUAAUAAAAAAAUUAAAAUUACAGAAUUAACAGUUGCUGUUUAGACCCUUCCGCAUUGGCCUAAGACGUCUUUUAUUAUUUGGAUUGAUAUUAAUUUUGUUCACUUUAUAAUAAUAAUAAAGAUUGAACUUAAUUUGAGAAUUCCUUUGUGUAUUUUUCUUGGGUUUGAAAUAUAUAAAGCUGUUACAUCAAAUAAACUAAUAUUAUAACUAAAAAUAAGUAUUCCUUAUAUGAUAUGAAAUUGUAUUAUGUUUUAUGUCAUUAGUUGAUAAGUUAUUCUAUUUUUGUCUCGAC